This 253-nucleotide unclassified non-coding RNA is filed under the name uncultured fungus. RNAcentral's name for it is "partial contains 5.8S ribosomal RNA, internal transcribed spacer 2, and large subunit ribosomal RNA". The stretch from base 1 to 52 matches the Rfam family "5.8S ribosomal RNA", at positions 103 to 154 of the family's 154-position model. Lineage: Eukaryota; Fungi. The record is from RNAcentral.
AACGCACAUUGCACCCCCUGGUAUUCCGGGGGGUAUGCCUGUUCGAGCGUCAUUAUCAACCAUCAAGCUCUGCUUGGCAUUGACAUGCACCCCCUCUCGGGGGGCGCGGUCCAAAGUUUUCGGCUGAGGGUAGUGUUCCUUCUCUAGCGUCAGUAAAUACUUCCCGCUAUCGAUCGAAGGGCCUCGCAAAGCCUCUAAAACCACACACCUCAAGGUUGACCUCGGAUCAGGUAGGGAUACCCGCUGAACUUAA